AAGACUCAAAUUUGUAUGGAGUUGGAACAGCUUCCCUACGUUUGCCGCUAGGGGCGCUGUUCCAACUCCAUACAAAAUUGAGUUA
Molecule: non-coding RNA, 85 nt
Organism: Bombyx mori (domestic silkworm)
Lineage: Eukaryota; Metazoa; Arthropoda; Insecta; Lepidoptera; Bombycidae
Source: Rfam